GAGGGACUUUUGAGGCCAAUCGGUGCUCAUUCUAAAACUAGCCAACUGUCUCCCUCACCACCCACUGAAGAUCUGGCUGAGCUGAGCAAAAGGACCUAUGGCUCUGUAGAUGGAGCAGGAUGUGCUGCAGUUUUCCACAGCCCUCAUCGUUUGGGCCACCUUUGAGAUUUCAAGUGAUGGAGACUUACUGCUGAAUAGCACUUUGAGAGGAGCAGACAGAAGACCCAGGGCACCCACUCCCAGAGGUGACUGGGGCGGGAGAGGGGUGGAAAAGUUGCCCUUUUCUUAAAGAUUUCAGAAACUUUCCAUUCAGAUGAUGGGUUAUCUUCAUUUUCUCUUUGCUUACCUGUUAUACAUAUCCUAAUUUUCCCAUGGAAAACAUAAGUAUGGAAAAAUUCCUGCUCAUUCUAAGUCUUGUAGCUUCAGGGCGGUUUUGUUCUCAGGACAUUCUGGAUCUUCAGGAAGAAUCCAUCCAACUGUAAGGUGAAACUACUACAGGCUGUACUAUGGACUGAAUGUUUGUGUUGCCCCAAAAUUUAUAUGUGAUGAUAUUAGGA
Hipposideros armiger (great roundleaf bat) is the source of this 557-nucleotide long non-coding RNA. RefSeq lists it as uncharacterized. The transcript is spliced from 3 exons. NCBI's taxonomy places the organism in Eukaryota, Metazoa, Chordata, Mammalia, Chiroptera, Hipposideridae. The record is from RefSeq and is a predicted model, not a curated record.